Molecule: long non-coding RNA, 41634 nt
Filed under: Fragaria vesca (wild strawberry)
Lineage: Eukaryota; Viridiplantae; Streptophyta; Magnoliopsida; Rosales; Rosaceae
Description: long non-coding RNA (FVES_LNC003109)
Source: RNAcentral
UUUGACAUAAGCUGGACCGUUCAAAAUCAUUAAAACUAAAUCAAACUUUUGAAAGUCCUAACGAUCAUCAAAUCAUAUGAAAUUUUGUAGAGGUGAUCUACUCAUAUAGACCUAAGAUAUGAACGGUGAAGAUGUAAAAAUUCAAUUGGGAAGUGGUGUAAUGCCCUAUCCCUAGAAAGUGGCCAAAAAUAGGGAUCUCUCAAUAGAAGGGGGCUGCAUACUUAUAAUAGGUUUCCUUAUGAUCUAAGGUUUUAUACUUAUAACUGUCUAUAUAAAGAGGUCUCGCUCGACUAUCAAAUAUCAAUUAAAGCAUUCUUCCGACUCUCAGACUAAGAGAGAAGCCACCAUGCAUGUCUCUCGAAAUACCACUUAUCUCCGGUGCCGACUCUCAAACUAACAGAGAAGCCGGCAUGUCUCUCUCGAAAUACCACUUAUCUCCAGCGCCGACUCUCAAACUAACAGAGAAACCGGCAUGUCUCUCGAAAUACCACUUAUCUCCGGCGCCGACUCUCAAACUAACAGAGAAGCCGGCAUGCCUCUCAAUAUACCACUUAUCUCUGUUGAGGACCCAAAGCCCCAAUCGGGAAAUAUGGAAGUAGAAGAGCCAGAUCCGGAGUACGAGUCAGAUGGAUCAGAUGAAGAUAUGAUACCACCUUGUGAAUGUUGUCUGAAGGAGAAUCCGGAUCACUUUUCAAAUGGUUGCCCGUACCUGGAGCGUGUCCCAAAUCCAAAGGACACAGCUGUUGGCAAGGCCUUUAUGAUAGUUUGCAUCCACUGCUUUCUAGAGAAUCAUGGCCACCCUGAUGGAGCCUGGCAAGGAUGUGCAAUGCUAGAUCCGAGGUUCUUUUUUGAUAAAGAGCCGCCUGCAGAUGACGAGCCUCCCCUUAAAGAUGAGAGUGAAUACUUUGCUUGGCUUAAGGUGGGUGUUUCUCGUUUCUCUCGUGUCUAAACUAGUGUUUGAUUGGAUGGACAAAAGCUGAGAGCGGCUUUUGAAUAAGAGCUCUCUACAUGUGUUGUACAUCUGAUCUGUUGACUUCUUAACUUUUUACUUUUGUACUUAAUUCACUUAGAGCAAGUCCACCCCCAUGGUAAAAAGCCUGACCCAGGCCUUCCUCCACCUCAAAGGAAGACCCAGCAAAAAAAAGCCAAGUCCACCCAUAAAUUUUCUUUAACCCAGGCCUUCACUGGGUCUUUACCUGGGUCAGACCUGUGACCCAGGCCUCCAUUUCUGAAGACCCGGGCCUUCGUCUCCAGCUCAGCCCAAAAGCCGAUGUCAGCCAUGUGAAGCACGACGUCAGCCAUGUGCAGCUCGCGCAAGUGGAGCGGAAGAAGCGAAUUGGCGAGCGCGUGGCGCGGACGAGCGACCUGGCGAGCGCGUGGAGCGGGACGAAGCGAGAAGGCGGGAGCUGAGGACGACGCCAGGGCCACGCGUCAGCAGCUGGGGUUGGUUUCCAAUUCAAAUCCAACGGUCAUUUAAUCUGGACCGUUGGUUGUAUUAAAAAAGCAGAUCAACAGCAUUCAAUUAUACAACAAAAAUUACCGUUGGAAAAAAUUACCGUUGUGUUUCCAACGGUUUAAAAUGUUUGUUUUUUUUUUUAAAUCCCAACGGUAAGAAAAAAAUUAAAAAAAAUUAUACAAUUCUCUAUAAAUACAUAUCACCCUCCUAUACCUUUUCAUACCACACAAAAAAUUGUGAUCCAUAGUUCUAUAGCUAUUUUCUUUCAUUCUCCUAUAGUUUCAUCUUUUUUAUUGUUUCGAUUCAUGGCCGGUGGAUCUGCUUCCGAUAGAAAACUUUGGGAAGCCGAUGAAGACCUCCAAUUGUGCAAGUCAUGGAGAUUUGUUAGCCACGAUGCGGAAAAGGGCACCGAUCAAAAGAAAGCUCAAUUUUGGGAUAAUGUUCUCAAGCACUACUUCGACAAUUUUCCGGAUGCUUACCCUCGAACAACAAAUGCAAUGAUAGGGAGGUGGAAAUCUCUAAAAAUAGAAUUGUUUCAAUGGCAUUGUGCGAUAAGGCAAGCUAAAAAUUGGGUAAAAAACGGUUCAUGUCUUGUUGAUGAGGUAUGAAUAUUAAACUUUUUUUAAUGUAUGUUUCUGUAAAUAUUUAUUUAUCGAUAAAUUAUCUUGUAUGUCAUACAUCUUAUUAAUUGUAGUUUUAUUUAUUAUUUUGUAGUACAAAAGAACACAAAAUAUAUGGAAGCAAGAGAUGACAAGGAUCAAAGGAAAGAAACAAAAGAGCGAGUUCAAAGCGCAAGAUUGCUACGCGGUCGUGGAAGGUUUUCAAAUGUUUCAAGACAUUCCUAGCAACAUGGAGAUGCAUGAGUCACCAUUAACGGGAGCCGAUUGUGAAAGGAUGGCUUCACAAUCAACUCAAAAUGAAGAAGUUGAUGAACCUUCUAUCAACUUGGCCCAAACUAGUGAUGAGGUACCCCGAAUCCAAAUGUGAGGCCUAUUGGAAGGAAGGCAACAAAAGAAGCUGCCCGGAAAGGAAAGAAGGCGGCCAAAGACGCGUGUCCCAUGACAUCCGCUGUUGUCACGAUUGCAACCAACCAAUCAUCAAUAUUGCAAUCGAGGGAGAAACGCGACGAGGCAUACGCAAAACAAUUGCAAGAGCAACAACAACGAGAAUAUCUGCGAUUGCAAAUGGAUCUUCGAAAUGAGCACUUCAAACUCCAAGAGAGGGAAGAUCGUAUCAAAGAGAGAGAAGAAAAGAUUAAGGAGGUAAAUCCAAGUACUAUGUCACCGGGGCCUAGAAAAGAUUAUUGGCGGUUAAGACAAAAAGAAAUAGCGGAAAGGCAAGAAAAUACAACUAGUGGAUAUCCCCACACAUCCUUCCCCAGCGGAUAUCCCCAAACACCUUUUCCUGGUGGAUUUCCUCAAACACCUUUCCCCGGUGGAUAUCCACAACCACCUUUCCCCGGUUAUUACUUUCCUCAACCACCUUCGACCGGUGACUCGACCAACCCGACCAAUCUCAAUGACCCUUCAAACACCGAUUUCUUUUGUAAUGAGGAUGUCGAUAAUUAGACUUAGAAAUUUAAAUUAUUGUAUUUUUCUUUUCUUUUUUCCUAGGCUUGUCUUGUCAAUUUAAGUCAUGUAAUAAAUAAAAUUAAUUUUAAUUUCAUUUUUUAAAAAUUUAUCUAUCAUCUUUUUUAUAAUUUCAAUACGUUAUUCAUAAUUUUAAUAACACAUAAAAUCAUUAUUCACAUUCAAAAUACAUAAUAUAAAAUUCAAUAAACAGUCAUUGCCACGUGGCAACCCAGAAACAUAAAUCGUGGAUGAAAACUGCAGCCUAAAAUCACUGCCACGUGACGACCCAGGUCUCGCCCAUGACCCAGGCCUUCCCAACGAAGACCCAGGGGGUGGACUUGCUCUUAUGGUUGCUGCUUACACUGUCCAGGUUUAUGUGCUUCUUUUAUGUUUGGAUUUUCACUUGGGUUUGCCAAGCAUUUUUCUGAAGUUGUAUUUGCACUUUGUUUUGUGGUCUUUUCAGUCUUAGACCUUUAGUGCUCAUGAAGAAGGGCCGCCGAUUCUUAUUAUAGUGUCUAGAAUAAGUCCAGAUGCCCAAUGAAAGCAAACUAUCAACAAAUCAAUCGGGAAUAUAUAUUAGGCAUGGGACAUUGUGAUUACUAAAGCACCCCUUUGUUAUGCUAAUUUAUGACACAAUUACUUAUUUAGAAUAAAAUUGCGUAGUGGGGUGGGAUAUGAGAGCAAGUCCACCCUCUAGGUCUUCGUUUGGGAAGGCCUGGGUCAUGGGCGAGACUUGGGUCGCCACGUGGCAGUGAUUUUGGGUUGCAGUUUCCACUCACGAUUUCUGUUUCUGGGUCACCACGUGGCAGUGACUGUUUAUUAAAUUUUAUAUUAGGUAUUUUGAAUGUGAAUAAUAAUUUUAUAUAUUAAUAAAUUUAUAAAUAACGUAUUGAAAUUAUACAAAAUAAUAAAUUAAUUUUGAUUCUAGGUCGCCACGUUGAAUUUGGAGUUUAUUGGAAUUAAUUAGAAUAAUUAGAACAUAAACAUAAUGUAAAUAAAAGUAUAUUCCAAACCUAGAAUAUUAUUUUUACCCAAUAGUUUUUUUUUAUUAGGUAAUUAUCAAUUAGUAUAUAAAACAUAAUUAGAUUUAGCUUGUAUAAAUAAAUGUUGUAUUAAUUAAAAACCAGAUUGAUUGUUUAAUUAAAAGCCAGAUUGAUUGUUUAAUUAAAACCCAGUUUUUGGCAAGUGGAGGUGGAGACAAGAACGUGCCCCUGACGCCCUUCACCCAUUCGUCCAUGCUCUGACGCGCGCAUGCUCCACUCACCUUUGUCUAUUCGUCCAUGUGGCCCACAUUUUGGGCUGAUGUGGCAUGGAAGGCCCGGGCCUUCAUUUUCUUUUGUUUGGGUCAUGGGUCUGACUCAGGUCUUAACCUAAUGAAGGCUGGGUCAUAAUAUUUUUCAUGGGUGAACUUGCUUUUUUUUUUUUGAGUCUUCUUUUGACGUGGAGGAAGGCCUGGGUCAGGCUUUUCCACUUGGGGUGGACUUGCUCUAAGAGUUGUUGCGUUUACUACUUUACUUGCACAUGAUGUGUACGUGGCUUUUAAUCAGAAGUCGAUCCCAUUCCUUAAUAACCCAUUUAAUUAGGAAUCAAAGCCUCCAUAAUCAUAUGGUAAGUAAACGACAUUGAUCGUAAUUAGUUCUAUUAUGAUUCUGAUUCCAUACAGUAAUGAAACAACUCGAUAGAAAUGGAUAUUAAAAAUUGGUUCCACUCUCAUACUGUGCAACUGGAAGUUGUCAAUGGCUGUGAUGUGAAGCUUCUUAACACCUGUUUGACAAACAGACUAUUUUCAGAAACAGAGUUUAUCAGACUUCUUAGGGUAAGCAAAGUAGGAAACCAAAUCUGAUAAUAACAAGCUCCUACUUGUAUUAGUAAUGAGCUUCCAAAUCUACAAACAUGGUGUUCCUUUGUUCACAACAGUCAAGGGCCUAAAUAUAAAUAUACCAGUUAUGUCAUCUAUGACAAGAGACACGUGUUAAAGGUAGUGUAAAUAUAACAAAAAAGGGUAUCCAGAUGAGUUUCCCAGCUUCUAGAAAUGCAGCAAUAUAGUAUGAUCUUAAGCAUUGUAAGAAUCUUUGUUACAGUCGAAAUAUUGAUUGAUAAGUCAGAUGAUUGCUGGUACUCUUCCGAAUAAUCAACAAACAAAAACUAGUACAUAUGUCCAGAAAAUGAAGAAAACCAUAAAACAGUAACAUAUCCAAAAUUCAAACCCAUUUUUUACUGAAUGCUUAGAGCUAAGGGUGUUGAUGCUACCUUGUACUUGGAGGCCCCGUGCACUUGAUGUUCAUUUUUCACAGGCAAACCCCUAGAACCAAAGAUGCAAGAAAGAGCUAUCAGUGUCUUCACUUUUGACGGCUAGUCCUCUCAUCUCCUCUAAACCAUACAGCGCCAGUUCCCACUAGGCAUUUCUACACACAAUUACAGAAUCCAUAUGUGAUUAGGAAUUUUACAGAUCUGAAAAUACAGCUUCUUUUUUACAAUUUAUACUGAAAUACAGCUUAACAGAAAAUCUAUACUGAAAAGACAUUGGAAUAGAGCUGAUGUGAAUAUAAAUUUGAACCUCGAAUGAACUGAUAAUAGAAACUCUUUUUUGCAUAUUGAUGAACAUAAAUACAAGGAUCCGGCUCCUUUAAAGUGAGUGAGCAGUGAAGUUAGUAAAUUUUUCAUAAAAUCUAGACUCUUUAUCUCAUCUAAAUUUAUCAAAACUCCGGCUCUCUUCACCAUAAUAACAAUAAUAAUACAAUUAUUCAAAACUAUGAGAGCAACUCAGUUUCUCUAACUCCACGUUUUAUAAUCAAUCAACCAAAACAAAUCAAUGAACCCAAAGCAUGGAAACAUUUGUCCAGACAUGCCUUAUAAUUCAGUUAUCGAACCAAAGGAGCAAAACCUAAUCAAUAUUAAUCUCAGCCACUUCCGUUUGAUUACUAUAUGCUCACUUGUAAAUUUCUACCUUAAUUGCAACCAAGUGCAGGUCACCACUUUUCUACUAUACCAUUUAAGAGUCAUGCACAGAUGACAUUCGAUUUCCAUAUAUUGGCACAAUAUAACUUUAAAAGUUUACAAAGAAGAACCAACUCACCUUGUUAUCAAGUAGAGCUCAAGGCAUCAUUCAAUUCCAGUAGAAAACACCAUUGUCGACAACCCAGCUACUGGAAUUUUCCUCCCAUGUUCUCACUUCCACCUAAGUCUAGCAAAUUCAGAAUUUCAACUCCCAUAAACAUCAGCACUCUUCAAAAGGAGAGGAGAUGGUCUAAGAACAGCCAGAACAGCCAUCGACGUCCACACGGUGAUACGCCGUACAACCCAGAAACACAACUCAGUCCAAUAUCGAUCGAAUUCAAAAACUAAUUAUACCACAAUUCAACCCAAUUAGGGGCAGAAGUCGCGGCAAGUUCGUCAGAGGACUCGACGCUUUGAGUCGUGGAUUCGUCUUCCUCCGUUGACGCUUAAGCGUGCCUCCACCAUAGCCGUGACGGAGGAGGAAAGAGGACUCUAUCGAGGCCGGUCCGCCGUGGCGUUGCCUUCCCAUGUCGGUGGUCUCUGCCGUGGUCGAGACUAAUCUCAUACAUAUUGGUUUGAUCCAUUGACCUAUUUAUAGGUUAGCUCCAACUUAAAUUCCAAUGAUUGAGAUUCAACGGUGAUGAAUUUAGAUGGCUCAGAUCGCAACACCUGAAAUUCCUAAUUCCCCUAAACAAUUUCCUAAACUUAAAAUCUUUUUAAAAUUGUAGGAAUUGCUCGGGACUCUGAAAAGUUGUCCGAAAAUUCCUACUUUAAUAUUGCACUCUAAUAUCACGGGUUUUCGCCUUGUCAAAUUUUCUGAUAUUAUUCCUUGAAUACAUUUUAUAUCCAUCGAGACCGAAAAGUAACUUGAUGAACGAUCUCAAUUUAAGGCAACUGAUGAGUCAAGUAGUGCUAUUUCAUCUAAUAGCAGUUGUGUAAUUCCCCCACGAUCAGCUAGUGACCGGGUAACAUGAUUGUAGAUUUGUAGUGAGAUAUAACAAUUUCCAUACCCAUUAAUCCUAAUAAGAGAUUAAUAAAUCAAAGGAGAGAAGCAAAUUAAAGAGUGUACACAAAUAAUGAAGGGAGACGUUUGUUGUGUACGCAGUACAUCAUGUACUGCUCUUGUUUUUGGACGACGUCACCCAAGAUUGACGCGGUGAAAUUAUGACUUUUUACUUUUGAUAUGAAGCACGCGCUUGGCGCAUCUCGUGUAAUCUACAUCCCACCGAAUACACCAUCGAAGGAUAUAAAAAAAAAUUGCCGAGUUUUUUUUUGGUCUGAUGGUUUGAGAGAGAGUUAUGGUUUGGAUUUAGGGUUCUCUCUGCUCUUCUACGGAGAGAAGCUACUGCCUUUCCGCCAAUUUUUGCAUUUUUCGGCACCGUUUUGGGUUGAUUGAGGCAUGGUUUUCAUCUACUCUUCGAGCUCUACCCAAAAACAAGAGAAAGUUUGAUAAAUGACCAUCUUUUGGUUUCCAAGUUGAUUUAUAACCUUGUUUUCUCAUUUAGUUGAAAAAUAACUUUUUAACAGGAUAAAAAUACAUUAGGAUCCUUACUAAACUAUUUACCUCUUGCAAUUCUUUUCUCUCUUUCUUUAUUUUUCUACAAACAACAACCCAACUUCUUUUAUGAUUUAAAACUUAAGCUCUCUUAUUGAUCUGGAACAUUAUCGAAAACCUUCUUGUUCAAGGUAAGUACAUCCCUAAUCUCUUUGAUUUUCUUUUCUAGAAUUGAAUUAUAAUUUACUAGUCAAAUAAAAGUAUAAUCAUAGGAUUUUGAUUUUCUUUUUUGAAGGUUUAGGGUUCUGCAAGAUUGAAAUUGAAUAUUACUUUAAUUUAUUUGCAAGUAUGAUCGUAGCACAGUGCAAGUAUGAUUGGUUGCUUCUUUUGUUUGUUGAAGCCAAUUAAGGGGUGAAUCACAUAUACUUGCUUCUUCAUUAUGUAAAUAUUAAAUGGAAAGGAUUGUCAAGGAUUGAACACAAGGUCUGAAUUCUGCAACAUGUUGUAUACAAACAGAAUAUUAUAAUCUUAUAUGUGGACAUUAGUUUGAUACUUUGAUUUUUUAUCAAUUUUCACUCAGUACUAAAAGAUGAGUUUUCAUAUCCUCUAGCUCUAAUAAUGUAGGAAAAAUAUUGAAGAUGGAAGAGUCGUUUUUCAACACCAACAAAAAUGAAGUUCUGGAUUUGUCCAUGACCUUUGAUUCCCACGUUUGACAACAUGUUUUCAAUUUUUUUAAAAGAUAUAUAGGCAGAUAAUAUGAGAGUUUAGUAAGGGUCUUAAUGACUUUUUGUCCUGCUAAAAGGUUAUUUUUUAACAAAAUGAGAAAANNNNNNNNNNNNNNNNNNNNNNNNNNNNNNNNNNNNNNNNNNNNNNNNNNNNNNNNNNNNNNNNNNNNNNNNNNNNNNNNNNNNNNNNNNNNNNNNNNNNNNNNNNNCAUUAAAAGCAUCGUUUGUGACCUCUAUCGAGUCUCAUAACAGCUUGGUUUUGUAUGCAAGAGCAAUGUAACAUUCUGCUCCUUUGAGUUUUGACGUACUAGAUGCCUAAGGCGGAUCUUUGCUUGGUAUCUGUGGAACCUUUCAUUGGAAAGGAUUAAACCACAUGUUUUGACCCCCAGGCUAACAAGCCUAGAUGCCGAGAUGCCACAUCGACAAAAGCCUUCAAUGGCAAUCUGUGCAAAAAGUAAUGACCACAAAGUACUGUGAAAUGCAUUCAUGGAGCGUUUCUCGAAACGUUCAUAUAACUCUCCUUGUUGAGUUAUUAGACAAGUGGAUUGCUUACCACCUUAAUUGACUACAUAUUGUCGAUGAUCUUUUGUGGCAUCAUGAUUCAUAAUCUUUAGCGGAUUCGAUCAUCAUCAAGUUCUCUAGGUCCUCUAAGUUGGUGUGGAAUUACCAACGAGACUUGAUUUUGAUCAUACAAACAGGAAUUGUAUAUACGCUAAUGUGAUAAACUUAUUUGGGAUUAUCCCCUAAUAUGGGGACAACAAUAUGGGUCAUGGCAACGGCAGAAAACGUCGUGCCGAUGUCUAGAAAAGAGGGGGAGAUGUCGCCGGCUCUAAUAGCGACAUUACCGGUCUAGACACCAUUUUGUCAAAACUACUCACGUCAGCUCAUGACAAUGCAACCAUUGUGGAUCUUCGGAUCACUGGUUCAAGAUUGUCUAGCUCCUUCAAAUGGUGAAUGCAUACAAAAAGGUACGGAAAAUCAAUAUGAGGACAAGAACGUCAUCCUCAUGAUCGUGAAUUUCGAAGAUUCGGAUCCUGCUCUAGCUACCCCUGACUUUGACGUCAUCGGUUAGACAUUGAUUUUCGUUCCAAGUUAUAUGUACUAAGGUGUUGUAUCGACGUCCUUCGUCUAUUUGAGACCUCGAUGUACUCACAUUAGCAAUAAUGAAUGCCUUGAGAAUUUUUUCGAAAUUAUGAAACUAUUCUCCUCUUAUGGUUCAUAUUGAUUUACAAUCAAGAUGUACACUUACAUCGUCCUUAGAAACAUGGCAUAUUGUGCCCAUUUUGGUCCCUUCCUUUGAAGGUGACUCAUGGCACUACAUCCUCAAGGAGGAUCGCCCACGUGUUUCCGGUUAAGUCUUCUACCCUAUAGCGGAUUUUUUAUCAUCAAUUGUUCAACUAGGCUCAUCCAAGCUCAGUGUGAUGUCUUAGAAUUGUCCAAAAUUAAGGAGAUAGUGGUUUUAAGUGUGCCUCGCACUACCGACCCUCCACGGACAUGCCUGGUCAUACUGACUUGGAGUUACCGAAAGCUUUUGAUUUUGGAUCCCCCUACGCUAUUAAACCAAUUGCCGUCUUGCAAAAGACGUUGAAGACUUAUCAAAGCUGGAAAAUUAUCAUCAUAAUCGGAUUCUCUAGAUCCUCUGAGUUAGUUUAUUUUCAUGUCAGGGAGCUUUUGCUAACUAGUCAUGGAGUUUACGACCUUAGAACGAUCGAAAGAACUUGGUUUUGAUCAUACACACGUCACUUUUGGCUAAGGCAAAAGCCUACACGCCACCUGCAAGCUUCACAGCUUCGCACAUGCCAAAUCUGCGAAAAACAGCAAUCUGUCCCUUCUGGACAGUCAACUUCGUUUGAGCUUUGUGAACAGCUCCGGACGAACCAGAAAGUGAGCUUUAUAUCAUUGGAAAGAUCUAUGAGUCUAGUUUUCAGACCUUUUUACGGUUCGUCCAUAUCUAUUUUAACGAAGAAGUUAUGGCUGUUUUAGUGCGCAAAGGUCAUUCUGCGCGGAAAUUUUUAUGCACUCUCGGGAUUGCAGCUUUUCGUAGCUUCUUUCAAUCCUUCUAAAUGGUUCAAAUAGAACUAUUUACUCGCCUAUCUACUCUUUGUAGUUAUGUCUCAUAGAGACAUUGAGUGCUUCGCAGAUAGUGGAACUAUCCACAACAUUCUAAGGAACCAUGUUAUUGAGCUUUAAAGACAUUCAUGCUAAUGGUUUUCAUUUGAAAACACAUUGUGAGAAUGAACAAGAAUUCUUUUGUGUAUACCUCCUCAUGAAUGCGAAUUGAAACGCAUCUUGGAGAAAUUCAUGAGUCAAUCUAGUGAACUGUAUGUCACUACGAUUCGAAUAUCGAAUCUCAUGUUGUCGCCAAACAUGAUAUUUGAGACACCGACUCACAUAGGCUUUGGUUUGACCAAAUUGGUCAACCUGGAAGAGAUAUAAUGGUCCAAAUUUUGAGAAAUUCUCAUGGACAUCCAUUCUUCCGCUCAAAAUGAAGACAUUCGAGAUCUAGCAUCACCAUGAAGCGUGGUGGUGACCCGGGGGACAUUGACGUCACCCGAACACGACUCCAACUUCCUAGAGGUCGUCCGGUCAAUUCCUCAAGCAAUUGAGGUGCACCGGCCUUUCCUCGAUGUCGUAUUGGCCCCCUGCAAUGCUCAUUGCUCGUUUUGAAAGCCUAUUCUUUAGCUAAAUAAGGAGUGAGACCCUCCUACGCUAAAUAACACAAAAGUGAACAUUCUAUUCUUACAUCAAACUAUGUAGAUAGAUACAACCAACUUGCGGACACCUUUUUAUGCUUUAUGGUGUUGGUUGACGUCUUAACACACUGGUCACGUGUUACACUAUUAUCUACUGCUUAUACUGCUUAUACUUCUACGGGCUCACUACCCAUUCUUUAAAGAAGUUCAUCAGGAUGUAAGUUGAAGUGUCCUGUACCCCAUGUUCACACGCAAUACGGUCUCACCCAGGCUACGACCAAGCAACUUUAGCUUGUCGCUCGAACAUUAUUGAUGCGCACCACUCUUUCUAUUGCGUCUUGGGGCUAUGCAAUAUUUGCAUGCAGCUUUACUAUUCAUCUACGAUCCACCAUCAUUGAAUUUUGUUGUACUNNNNNNNNNNNNNNNNNNNNNNNNNNNNNNNNNNNNNNNNNNNNNNNNNNNNNNNNNNNNNNNNNNNNNNNNNNNNNNNNNNNNNNNNNNNNNNNNNNNNNNNNNNNNNNNNNNNNNNNNNNNNNNNNNNNNNNNNNNNNNNNNNNNNNNNNNNNNNNNNNNNNNNNNNNNNNNNNNNNNNNNNNNNNNNNNNNNNNNNNNNNNNNNNNNNNNNNNNNNNNNNNNNNNNNNNNNNNNNNNNNNNNNNNNNNNNNNNNNNNNNNNNNNNNNNNNNNNNNNNNNNNNNNNNNNNNNNNNNNNNNNNNNNNNNNNNNNNNNNNNNNNNNNNNNNNNNNNNNNNNNNNNNNNNNNNNNNNNNNNNNNNNNNNNNNNNNNNNNNNNNNNNNNNNNNNNNNNNNNNNNNNNNNNNNNNNNNNNNNNNNNNNNNNNNNNNNNNNNNNNNNNNNNNNNNNNNNNNNNNNNNNNNNNNNNNNNNNNNNNNNNNNNNNNNNNNNNNNNNNNNNNNNNNNNNNNNNNNNNNNNNNNNNNNNNNNNNNNNNNNNNNNNNNNNNNNNNNNNNNNNNNNNNNNNNNNNNNNNNNNNNNNNNNNNNNNNNNNNNNNNNNNNNNNNNNNNNNNNNNNNNNNNNNNNNNNNNNNNNNNNNNNNNNNNNNNNNNNNNNNNNNNNNNNNNNNNNNNNNNNNNNNNNNNNNNNNNNNNNNNNNNNNNNNNNNNNNNNNNNNNNNNNNNNNNNNNNNNNNNNNNNNNNNNNNNNNNNNNNNNNNNNNNNNNNNNNNNNNNNNNNNNNNNNNNNNNNNNNNNNNNNNNNCAUCUUGAUCCCAAAUGCUUAUAGUGUUAAAGUGACGAGAUCACAUGCUGCAAAUAUGUCUGCAAGGAUUGAUGUCCUACAAAAGGACAUGGCGCGACCAAAAAGUGUUGGUCUUGAUGCCAUCACCAUGGAUGGUGAUAUGGUGACGCCAUAUAGUAGCAAAAUUGGUGUCACAAGGCCGUGUGGCUCCCUAAAAGGAGGGAGGCCCUUAGGUUCGAUAUUGUCUUGCACUAGAAAGAAAGCGAGCUUGGCACAACCUGAUCCAUUGAUAAGUGAUACUCAAAUCUGUCUCAUGAAGUCUGAAUUGUGAUUAUCGUUGGGGGACGCCUCAAUGUCAAAUCCAAUCCAUAUAGAGAUCUCUACAAGUAUUACACUAGUGUACAUGAGGACGUGAGAUAAUGAGUCUACUAUCGAACCACCCUUCGUUGAUGGAUAUCAACUUAGUUGAUUGGCCUAAUGGAAAGACACGAUCCAGCAUUAACAAAGAGAUAGGUCCUUGGGCAGGUGAUGCCGACACCGCAAGCUAAACCCUAUCAACUGUGCCUUUGUUAGAUAGCGUAGUGAGAGUAAGAGCUUAGACUCACCUUAUGGCGCAAGGUCUUUCACUAACACGCACUGGGAUCAACUACGAUGAGAUAUGCUCUCGUAAUGGAUGUCAUUGAACUCCACUACUUUAUCAGUUUGGUAAUUUCUGAAUAACUGAACAUGCAGCCUAUGAAUGUGGUCAUAAUAACAUCUCUAUGGGAUCAAAGAUAUACAUGAAGAUCUUAAACGGACUUCAUUCAUCCGAAUCAAGUGGCUCCAAACCACAGGAGCAUGCGUUUGCUAAAUGUAUUGAAACGCACAUGGACUCUACUUGAUUUGGAAGGGAUAUGGUGAAUUAUGCCUUUGCGUGUUCAUUCCGGAUUUACAUGGACUCUUGAUGGAUCAAGAGAUGCCAAUAUGUAUCAACAUCCGAAGAAAAAGAUCUUGGGAAGACAUGGUCUCGAUAAGGCACUCGAUGACUGUAUUGAUGAUGAUUUUCCAUCAAUCAGCUUAGGCGCUCUAUAACUAGUGAGGCCUACAUAUACUCCCAUGAUUAGUCAAGGUCUUUGCUCUAAAGAGAGAUCCGUUGUUUUGUCUUAAAAGCAAGAUGACAAAUAUGUGUUAAGAGAUAGAGUUCCCAUCUAAGUAUAAUAAGACGCAUCAAUGUACUCAACACAAUACGAAAGACUUGACAUCUCAUUCGCUAUGAAAAGUUGUAAAGCUAAGUGUAGCUAUGCGCCCACGCAACGCCAAUGUAANNNNNNNNNNNNNNNNNNNNNNNNNNNNNNNNNNNNNNNNNNNNNNNNNNNNNNNNNNNNNNNNNNNNNNNNNNNNNNNNNNNNNNNNNNNNNNNNNNNNNNNNNNNNNNNNNNNNNNNNNNNNNNNNNNNNNNNNNNNNNNNNNNNNNNNNNNNNNNNNNNNNNNNNNNNNNNNNNNNNNNNNNNNNNNNNNNNNNNNNNNNNNNNNNNNNNNNNNNNNNNNNNNNNNNNNNNNNNNNNNNNNNNNNNNNNNNNNNNNNNNNNNNNNNNNNNNNNNNNNNNNNNNNNNNNNNNNNNNNNNNNNNNNNNNNNNNNNNNNNNNNNNNNNNNNNNNNNNNNNNNNNNNNNNNNNNNNNNNNNNNNNNNNNNNNNNNNNNNNNNNNNNNNNNNNNNNNNNNNNNNNNNNNNNNNNNNNNNNNNNNNNNNNNNNNNNNNNNNNNNNNNNNNNNNNNNNNNNNNNNNNNNNNNNNNNNNNNNNNAGUCUAGUUUCCAAAACCGUUUACGGUUUAUUCAUAUGUAUUUCCUAGAGGAAGUUACGACUGUUCUAGUAAUUGAAGGUCAUGCUGCGCGGAAAUCUGAUUUCCUGCACGAACUUAUGUUUUGAGUUCACAAGAGACCUUCUUCUCAAGAAUCUAAAGUGUAAAAGAUCAUUUGAGGACAAUACGGCAUGAUUUAGUUAAUCAUUGCCCAAUGCCACAUUUGAAGACAAUGUUAAAAAGCAUUGACAUGCUAAGUUGUUGAAACUUCCGUGAUUAGUAAGAAUCAGGAAGAACCCUAUGAUUGAUGUAAAGAUCAGGGGGGGUGCGAACUUCAGGGGAGUCUAGCACAUACAUACAUGUCACUAUCAAAUGUGAAGGGUGCGUUGUACUCUUUUUCUCCUACGAUCAAGGUUCAGUUUUUCUCCCACAGGGUUUUUGUGACUUGACGAGGUUUUUGACGAGGCAACAGAUCAGCACCAUCGGUAUAUCAGCGCGCGGCACAAGGGGGAGUGUUCUAGGAUAUUCUCUAUGUGUGCCUUGGCCUUAUGCCAAUAGGAUAUGUAGUUAGACUAGAUCUAUGUAUUCAUAUCCUUACCAUAUUGGUAUUGUGUAAUUCCCUAUAUAAAGGGCUCCUAUCAAUGAAUAAGAUGAUGAUUCUCUUGCUAUCUUUUUGUCUCUACCAUUAAUCCUUCAUCAAAAAGAUAAUAAUAGAAUUGAGGAGAGAAUAGUGGGUAGUGGUUUUAUAACUGGAUAAGUUUGAUAAUUAACUGCAUUAUUUGAGAAUUGUAAGCACAGGUAAAAGACUAGUCAGUUAAGAAAGUUAAAAGAAUAAAAAAAGUAAAAUAUUUCAUUUUUAUUAUAAAAUUAAAAUGGUGAUCGCGUGACGGACACGCUUUUAACGCCAUAUAUAUAAAACCCCCAAAUUUAAGCUCUUCGUCCUAAACUAGAUCUGCCCAAAAUAUAUUUUUUCCCACUACGCAGAGAAGCCGGCAUGGGUACCAAAAUACCAGUUAUCUCCGAUGUGGAUCCGAGCCGCUCUCCAACGACAAAGAAGGGACGAUUGGGAGAUGUGGAAGAGCUGAUUUUUGUCGUAGGAUUUCAAUUUGCUUGGUUGUUGUUCCUGUAAUUUUUCAAUCAAUUUAGCAUUUGUGCUACUACAAACAGGUCUCUAUGAUUCAAAACCAAGGGAUGUUGUUCCAGACGUAAGGAAUUGUGGAGGUCCAGAUAAGCCAUCUAGGGAGCAGCUCAAGAAAAUCAAUGAAGUGGGUUUUCGAAAGUUCUUCGAAGGAAGUCUGCUCUUAAUCUCUAUGUUACUGUCUCUGAUAUCCUUAUAGAGCUUGUGUCUGAUGUUAAUGUGCUCUUUUUGAGUUGUUUAAAUUGUUUGUUUUGCUUUGGAUUGUUGGUUGAUUUGAAAAUAGUUUUUAAGAAAUAUACCAAGUUUAAAGUUUCAGUGGAUAAUAAGUAUGUUGCCAUAGUACAAUUCUCAUAAGUUUUCAGUCAUCGUUGCAAGUCUGUUUUCUUAGUGUGCGGUAUAUGCUACUAUAUAACGAAAUGUAAUAACUGUAAUGGAAUUAUAUUUUCUAUAGAUAAAUAGUUCAUAACUUUAAAAGCUUGGACUUGAAUAAGUUUUGUUGUAUCUUGAAUAGGUUUCUUGUGUUUUCUAAGUAGCUAGGUACACUGAAACCAGUGGCGGAUCUAGGAUCUGAACUGGGGGCGGGUUUCAAAUUUGGCCGAAGGCAAAAAAAAAAAAUUCAAAUACAACCAUGCAAAAUAUAGGAAUUCAAGUAGACGUUAAUAAGUCUUCAAAAAAAAGUAGACGUCAAUAAAAGAAAUUUCUAAAAAUCAAAGACAAAUUUGACAACUUAACAAAAUUUUCCCCAAAAGUUUGGAUUUUUUGAGAUUUAAGAAGGAGAAGAUAGAAAACUAGAAGAAAGAGCAAUUGAUGAACUGAGGAACUAAGGAACUGAAGAAUAAAGACGUAAUCAUGUAUAAAAAAAAAAGAGGAGAUGCACAACUAGUCGGGAAGUUAGAUAGGCUUGACUGAACAAAAAUACAUAUAUAAAAAAAAAAUAUAUAUAUAUAUAUAUACCUAGGAUUUUUUUUAACUCCAAAAAACUUGGUUAGGCUUGAGCCCUACCAACCCUUGCUUUGGCUCCGCCCUUGACCGGAACUGGAACUCAUUGCCAGAGUAUUUGUAUGUUUUACAACUUUAUACAUGUCUAAGUUUUGAUGUUCUUGUUCUAAUACACUUUCUAUUUAACAAUGGAAUCACAAACCACAAACAGAUGAGAUUGAUGAUGAGGACUCAGGGGAAGAAAUAAAACCUUGUGAAAUUGGUAUGAAGAAGGAGGAGGACUUGCCAAAUGAUUGCUCGUACCUACAGUGUAUUCCAAACCCCAAAGACGCACAUGUUGGCAAGGAUGAGACUGAUGAUAAGGAAUCACAUAAAGAAAUGAAACCUUGUGAUGUUUGUAUGGAGGAGCAUCCCUGCCAAAUCUUUGCCCGUACUUGGAGUGUAUUCCAAAUCUCGAGGACACACAUGUUGGCAAGGAUGAGACUAAUGAUGAGAACACAGAUGAAGAUAUGAUACCGCCUUGUGAAGUUUGCUGAAGGAGAAUCCGGAUCACUUUUCAAAUGGUUGCCCAUACCUAAAGCGUGUACCAAAUCCAAAGGACACAGUUGUUGGCAAGGCCUAUAUGAUAGUCUGCAUCCACUGCUUUAGGGAGGAUCAUGGCCACCUUGAUGGAGCCUGACAAGGAUGCGCAAUGCUAGAUCCGAGGUUCUUUUAUGAUCAAGAGCCUGCAGAUGACGAGCCUCCCCUUAAAGAUGAGAGUGAAUACUUUGCUUGGCUUAAGGUGGGUGUUUCUCGUUUCUCUCGUGUCUAAACUAGUGUUUGGUUGGAUGGACAAAAGCUUAGAGUGGCUUGGUGUUUUUAAUCGAUGGAACUUAUGCCUUGUAUAUAUAGUUUUCGAGAAAAUGUUGUUUUGGCUGAAUAAGUUCUCCUGGUUAUAACAGUUAUUGCCAUCUUGCAGCGGAGGAGAACGAACCAUAUGAAGCAAAGGCCAGUCAUAAUAAAACACGCUAGAAAGGAUAAAAUUAGGGGCUACAACAAUAACGUAUCUCAUUAUCAACUGAUGUCUUUAAGUUUAGCAGGAUAACGAAAUGGGAACAAUAUAUUAGCCAACAGACUAAUGAUUUAUAGUGUUCAAUAAAAAUGUUAGAUAAUAGAUAGACAUGUGUAGACAAUUGUCAUGAUAAUAAGCCUCGCUCAAUGCCUUGCUCUAGUGAUCAAAAUCUAGAGGAUCAACCCUCUAACUGGAGUCAAGCUGGAAAAUUUUACCCUCUAACUGGUCUCUCAUUUACUCAUAUGCAUGCUAUAUCAAAAUUUAACCAUCAUCUCACUCCACAUUUUCACUUGUCCAAUGCCCUUUAUUUCCAAACUUGCAACACCAGCAGCUGCAAUAGUAUGCUCAUUAAAACACUUUGAAGUAGCCUCAACUCCUGAAAAGUCAAGAGCUUCCCCAAACCAACCAAGUGAAUCAUCGAUCUUUUACCAUUCAAUCCCAUUUCAAAAAUAGACUUCCCCUAUAUAUACACAUAGAUUUCAAAAACAGGCUUCCCCUAUAUAUACACAUAGAUUACGCAACAGGUACCUUUACCCUUCUUGGGCUGUUGGCCAUGGGCAUCAAGACCUAAAAGAGGCUUCUUCAUCGCAUCAAGCCUCAGGCUCCCAGCCUCAAACACCAGGCUAGGCCAAAAAAUCAUUAUUGCCCCCACGUGUCUGAUUUAUUUACGAAUACGUUCCCGGCCGUUUCCGGCUAUAUCUGCCUAUUUCCGGAUGUUUAUGGCCAUAUCAGCGUGUAAUCGGUGGCCAUAUCAACGUGUAACCGGUACCUUGCAAAUUAGAAAUUUGUCAUCUGAAACGCGCGGAUACGGCCGUAUACUGCCGAAAACGCGUCGAAAACAUCUAAAAACGUGUAAGUAAAUAAAUCAAAAAUAUGGGGGCAAUACUGACUUUUGAUUUCAAAGAAAAAAAAAGCUAGGGGCGGGCGUGGGUUGGUGUGGUGAGGGUUAGGGCUCAACUCUAAUCCAAUCCACUUUAAAUAAUUUGACAAAUCUUCAAUCUAGAUCCACAUUCCGAAAAGGCCAAUCCACAUAUCCGGAUGACCCCCUUUUUGGAUUGGUUUUGGAUUGGAAUUGGAUUGAGCCCACAUUUUAUUUGACCUAAUAACUAGGCCCAAACAUAAAAUAGAUACCAUCAAAAUCUGAACAAACCAAAUUCAAAAUAAAAUAGAUACAAUCAACUCGGCUAUUGUUCGCGUCUUCUGGAGAGAAAUAGGACUGAGAGAGAGAACAAUGGGAGACAGCGGCGAUAAAUGAUUUAGAAACGCUGGCUUCUCUUAGGGUUAAUUGGGAAUAAGAGUUGGGUUUGAGGUGUUAUGGGCUUAGGGUUUAAAACUAUAAAUUUGGCCAUAAGCCAUUUAUAAGUUCAUAUAUCUAUUACAAAUAAUAAACUAAAUUAAUUAAUAAAAUAAAUAAAACCGGUGCGGGUUAGUUUAAAUCAGAUUGAAAUUUUCUCAAUCCUAAUCCAAUCCGCUUUAUGUGGGUUGUUGUUUUCUCAAUCCUAAUACGAUCCGUUACAACCGAUGUGGUUUGAAAAACGGUUUGAACCGAUGCGAUAUGGUGCGAUACCGCACAUCCGGUGUGAAGUGCCCACCCUAAAAAAAACUGUGAAGACUUGGGCUUUAGAAGUGGGUAACGGUUGUGGCCCAAACAGAUUGACUUGACCCGGCGCCAAUUCCUGAAGGUCAUGGCGGAAGAGAGCAAAGAUCAGAUAUGAUAGCCAAUGGCCCAGGAAAUUUGAUUCCUUUCUCUAAAAUCACUGCUUUUAUAUUCUAGGGUUUCUACUUCCCUUUCUUUCUUCUCCAAUUAGAUCUCCAUAACCCACUUUUUCGCAGUCGACUCGCGGCUAUGUCGAAGCCGAGGGGUCACCCUCGGUCGCUCUGGUCAGGUAACUUUCGCUUCUCACAUUCACGGUUCAGAUCAAUUAGAGCUUUUUAUCUGAUAAUAGGAAGCUUUUGUUCUUUCGUUAUAGGUGAUUUUGUAAAUUUCAAUUUAUUUUGUGUUUCCGAUUAUAAUUGAGCUUGAAUUUGUUGCAAUUUAACUACUUUUUGUGUGACGUGGGACUGAAAUAGUUGUUAUGGUUGUGGUCGGAUUGCUGAGAUUGGAUUUUUUUAGGUUGAAUUCGUGGGUGUGGUUUGUGUGUGAAGAUUUGGUUACUUAUUGUGCGAAAGUUUUUGUAGGUUGUGGAAAGGGAGGAACAUCAGACUCUGCACAAAUGCGUGGGGAUAGAGGUCUGGUUUCGGGAGGGAAACGAUCAAUGGGAGACAGGCUUGGGAGUAAUGCUCAUGGCAAGCGGUACUUUGUUCCGUCUCUCUUGAGUUAUAAAUGACACUUAUCUGCUUAGAUUUGAUUAGGAAGUCUUGUGAUGCUUAAAGUUGAGAAUAAUUGUGGUUUUGCUCUAGUUUGGUUAAUAUGGUUUUAAUGGCAUACUGACCACACUACUUGUAUGGUUAAAUCCACCAUCACUGCUGCAUAUCGAUCUUGAAGCUUUUUUCGUUUUCAAAAUGGUAAAAUUAUUAAUGUUAGCGUUACCCAAAAAGGGUUGGGAUUCAGGAGUAGGGUAGUGGACUUUGUUUCCUUAAUCAAUUGCAUACUAUAAAUAACGUAAAGCAAUCUGUAUCGUCUUUUCUUUACUUUGAACAUGUUUUGAAAGUUAAGAAGAGAUAUAUGUUUCUCCACUUUGUAAAAAUCAUCAUUUGCUUCCAAAGGUGGUAACAUGUUUAUUUGAGGAUGCGCCGCUGUUUGCAUUGUUAGGUUAUCUAUAUAUGCAGUAGGUAUGUCAUGAUGUGUUGGAUCUCAAUUUCAGGCAACGAGGAGAUGGAAUAAAAUACAGAGGGGGUGACAAUACAUUACAUGGUAACCAUCUUGUCUGAAUUUUGAUACUACCAACUUUAUGUAUGAUUUAUUAUCUUUUUAUAUGGUUUCCUUGUACUGACUCUUGCUCAUUAAAACAAGUGAAGAUUCACGGAUCAGUCGAAAUGACCUCAGAUUGAAACUGUUGCGCAAAAGAUCAUUUAAGCAAAAUGGGGGAGGUAUUGCAGAACGCAAGCAGAUGGUCCCGCGCCCAUAGCUGUCAAAACCUGCUCAUUCUACAGUGAGGUAUCAGAUGUCACAGCAUGAGUUGGAAACAAAUGGGAGUAGCUUCCUGAGAGAAAUGCCUCCCAGGGAUAGUGGAGCUGAUUUGUACCAUGUAAAUUCACAGAGGAACAAAGAAGAGAUGGAUUCCAAGCUAGAUCCCCUGAUAGCUUUCAGAACACUUCUUACGGGCCAUCACCACAAAGAAACUUUGGUGAGCUGCAGUCAGCAUCAUCAUUCAGGCCAGUUGACGCUCAAAGAGCUGGCCAGUUCCACAGAAAUGGUAUGGUUGGUUCAUCUCAGCCAACAGAUUCCUUUAUUUUCAGAACGAAGUCUAACCCUCAAACUGCCAAACCAGUUGGACAGCUUGUGCCAACAAAUUUACAGCAUGCAAAAUUAUAUGGUACUACUUUCUGGCUGUUGCUCCACUUUAGCUUCCUUUCAAUUAUCACUUUGAUCACUUUAGUAAGUUGUAUAAUAUCGCUCACUCUGCAUUAUAGGGGGAAGAACCUAAGUGUUGCUAGUUUAUUGCAUAGACUUGGUUUGGGAAAAUAUGCUAUAAUCUUCCAGGCUGAAGAAGUAAGUAACCUACUCUAAUCUUAUUUUCACUCCAUACUCAGAUUUUUAGAGGCGUCCGUUUCUUUCACUGGUCUUUUGAUUUUUGAGACAGCAGAAAGAAUAUCAUAUAUUAGAAUGUACAGUUCUGAUGAUUUCAAGGAGCAACGUCAAUAAUCAAUUUGUCUCUCUUUUGGUUUUGGCUUAAUGCUUUGAUUGUCUGAUUUGCAGGUAGACAUGAGCGCUUUGAAGCAGAUGGGCGAUAAGGACCUUAAAGAGCUGGGUAUACCAAUGGUAAUGUUUUAAUGCACCAAUUCGUUAUCUUUGUUCUGAUCUAUAUCUUUCUCCUUGUCUAUAUCAAUAAGCAUGUGAUUUGAAACUUGUGUUAUGUUCUGCUAGCUCAGUUGUGUAGUACCAUCCUUCUUGUGCUUCGCACAGGUAGUUCAUCGAACUAUUCUCACUUAAGGUUGUUUGAUUUGCAGGGGCCAAGGAAAAAGAUUCUCCUUGCACUUCUCGCCUGUGGUAACCGACCACCGCCACCGUAAUUCUCGCUUUGAGUGCUGCAAUGUGUAAACAGCAUAUCUCUUGUUUGUACCUCUCACAUGUUGUAUCAUAAAUAUUGAGUUUAAGGGUGACUUUUGAGUAGGGGUUGUUCAGUGAUUCAUUUCCCUCCACAGGUCUUUGUUGGUUUGAACAUGAUUAGUAUACCAUUUGUUUUACAUAUAGAAGCAGGACAUGUGUAAACGUUUGUAUUUACAUCUAAAUGUUCAACAUGCUAAUCGAUCAUUUUGUAUAUUGACAUGAGUCUAUAGUAGUCUUGUGUGUUUGAACAUACUUGACUCAUGGAAAUUGUAGACUUUAGCAUAGAGAAGAAUUUCUUUUUUUUUUGUAGAAGAAUUUCAAUUAGCAGAACACAAGUACAUAAUUUGAUUGUUUACAAGCAGUGUUAAACUUUGAAUGAGAAAACAAAAACUCAAAACGCCCCAACUGAUGGGGUAAUGGGAGGAGACUUGAACCCCUCUCACUCUUCCCACAAUCUUUCCCAUUCCUUGAAGCAAAGGCAGCCAAGAACGUCCCAUUCCAAGCUCCUUCAUUCGCCGCCACGGCCAAGGCCGCCCUUGCUUGCUUGUUGCAUUCAUGGUCGGCCGGAAACCGGUGGCUGAGGCAGACCUUGAGAUGGCAAGUCUUGCAAGUACUGCUAUUUGAAAAUGUCAGACUCUGCUUGCACCUCUUCACAGGACAUCUAGGCUGCUUCUUUUUGGGGUCGCAAUUCCCGGACUUGCUGUGCCUCUCAAGCAACACCUUCUGGCUCUCCUCCUCGCCGUCGUGGCCAGUGGUCUCUAUGGAGGUGGAGCAUACCUCACAAACUAUCACUUUCCGGCUGUUGUGAUCGGAUUUGGGACAAUCAUGGGACUUGUACGAUCGGUCGAUUAUGGAUUAUGAAACAUUAUAGAACGUUGCAGGUACUUGGUAGGGAGAGUUCUGUAGUAGUAGUAGUAGUUGUAGUACGUGACAGAAACGAAUCUUGAAGUCUUCAAGUGUACCACUCUUCUUCUUUUUCGAUGAGAAGUGUACCAUUCGAUCUUAUUAGUUAUUACCCAGUCAGCUAGUCUUUUCCACCACAAAAAUAGCCGAAUUAGUUGUUAAUCCAUGAGAACCACAAUGCUUGGCCUAUUCUCCCUCUCGAAUUGACCAAGGCUUCCCCCCACACUUCAAAGUCUCUCUGCAAUACCAGAGAAGCACAAAAAAAAUGAAGAAGAUGACCGAAUAUGGGUCGACCCCAUUUCUUUUCUGGUUCUCUUUCUUGUGUUUGCUUCAUUCUCUUCCUGUCUACUCUGCCAAAUCCUCACAUCGUAGAUUCCCAUCUUUACUGAUAUCCCCAGAAGAAAAAAUAUCACUUUCUGCUCGUCAAAACCAACUUUACACAACCAAAUACUUCACCCAAGUCCUUGAUCAUUUCAACUACCCCAAGAGCUACGAAACCUUCCAACAUAGGUAUUUGAUAAAUGAUACGUACUGGGGAGGCGCCAAGAGCAAUUCUCCAAUCUUUGUUUACACUGGUAAUGAAGGUAACAUAGAAUGGUUUGCGGAGAACACUGGUUUUCUGUAUGAGACAGCUCCCCAUUUUAAAGCCCUCAUCAUUUUCAUCGAGGUAAGUUUAAUUUCCGAAUUGGUAGUUUUAACUCUGAACACUUACCGUAUUCCUUGAUUAUGAAAACUUCAUUCUUUAUUGAGAUAUCAAUCUAACAUCGGGAAUGUGAGACCUUACAUGGUUUAUAAGGGUUUGGACCUCUCUACCUAUUGUUAAUAGGUUUUGGAUGUAAACCCCAGACUACUUCAUCUUGGUAUCAGAACGAGUUACCCAUGUCCACGUGUUAGGCUUGAAAAUUAACCACAUGUACGCAGACAUGUUGAGAUAUCAAUCCAAAGAAACCAAUAGAUAGCAUUCCUAAUCGAUGUUAGUUGUGUUCAUCUAGUGAUUAACUAACUAAAGAAUCAUCACUAUUUGUUGUAAAUUUUAUUUUUCUUUUUUGCAGUUUAGUUUGAGUAUUGGUAUUAGGAUGUUCAAUCAAUUUCUUUUUUUUUCUUUUUUUUUUUUCUUUUUGUUUUUUUUUUUUCAAUCAGCUCUUGUAUGAUAAUAUUGCAGCAUCGGUUCUAUGGAAAGUCUUUACCUUUUGGGGGCAAGAAAGAUGUGGCUUAUAGCAAUGCAACUACACUGGGAUAUCUAAGCUCUACACAAGCCUUGGCAGAUUAUGCUUCCUUAAUUAUUGAUUUGAAGAAGAAUUUGACAGCAACUGACUCUCCUGUAGUGGUUCUUGGAGGUUCCCAUGGAGAAAGUAUGUUACAGUAUAUAUAUUUUCAAUAAUAUUUAAUAAAAUAUUAGUUACAUUUUUUUGGAAUGGGAAUAUUAGGUGGCGUUCAGUAACGUUUUCAUGUUUGUAUUUUUAUUUUUGAAAAUAAAAAUGAGAUGAAAACAUUUCUGAAAACGUUGAAAAUGAAAAAUAAAAAUAUUUUCAAAUUUUACAAAAAAAAACUGAAAACAUCAAUGUGAUGUUUUCACUUUAGCAUUUUCUUAGUUUAGGAAUCUAAAAAAUACAUUUCACGAUAAAUUAUUGAUACAUUUCUAAAGUAGAAAAUAAAAUCUCACUUUCUCACAAGCCCUUAGUUACAUAAUUGACCAAAACAUAAUAAUUUUCAUUUGAGAUUUUGUAUUAUAUAUUAGAGGAUCGAGUUUUAGCAUAUUCUCUAUCUCGGCACCUUAAUUACUUUGGAAAAUAUGUUUAGUUUUUUCUCAUGAAAAAUAAUAGUUGUACUAAACUCUUAAGCGACUCUAUUUUAACUUUUAAUUAUGUUGCUCUUUUUUUGUUUAACACACACACCCAUGAUGGGGCUCAGACACAUAUUGCAUGAUUUCUCAAAUGCGAAACCAUUGUUUUAGCUAUGUUGCUCCUAAAUAUAGAGAGCUAGAAGAGGCUCUAACAUUCUUUUUCGUAAGAAAAAUAUGUUUUGGCUAACAAAGUCUAUUUCUUUAUAUGUUCACUUACAAAACAUAUUAAAGUUGUACAAGUUGUGACCUGAUGUAUUUAAAAAAUAUGUAGUAAUUUAAAAUGUUUUGUCAAAAUAUGUAACUAAUAAUAUUUACAACUUUAAGGACUUAUGUUACAACUUUAAUGACUAAUAUUAUUACUUUAAGGACUUAUUUUACAACUUUAGAACAAAAUUGAUGCAUGUCAUGCACUAAUACAUUGUAAAAUUUUCCGUUCAAAUUUUAAACUAUUUUGAAUUGUUUUCUCUUUUAUCACUAUCCUAAAUUGGGUAUGGGUACGGUCCAUUGGGUAUUUAGGGCAUCAAACUCUUUUGAUUUGAUUUAGGGAAAUGAAGUGAAAUCUACACUCUCUAAAUUGUAAUCUACACUCUCACUUUUCAUUUUUUAUAAAUUAAAUUUUUUCAUUAGUGACUUAACUUUUGUCUUCUUAUGAAAAUGAUUACUAAAAAUAAAAAAUGGGAGUGUAGAUUAUAAUUUGAGGAGUGUAGAUUUCACAUCCCUUAAUUUAAUUUGGUUUUUCUCUUUGCAGUGCUAGCAGCAUGGUUUAGGUUGAAAUACCCCCAUGUUACAAUUGGAGCUUUGGCAUCAUCUUCUCCCAUCCUCAAUUUUAAUAACAUAACAUCUCCAGAAAGCUUCAACAAUAUAAUCACUAAGGACUUUAUGGUUCUCUCUCUCUCUCUCUCUCUCUCAUUUCUACUUAAAGACAAAUUAGUGUACAAUUAAAGACAAUACAACACGCAUCCAAAUUGAAUGCUAUAGAAAUUUUUUUGUAUAACACGUCAAUAAGAUAGGUACUAUGUUGUUUUACAAAAACUUUCAUGUACUUUUGAAGAGACUUGUUAAAUUUUUCGUACUUUUGAAGCCAAAUAUGUAUUAGACAUAUAUAUUUUUUUUCUCCCAUGCGAUUCUAACAUUUUGUUUUUCUAUAUUCUACAUGUUAAAAUAUUUAUAUAAAUAAUGUUAAAAAUAAAAAAUAGAAAUAUUUCGCUAGAACUUUAAGAAACUAUUUGAUGACAUGUAUGAAUACUACACGUACAUAUUUUUCGUGCAUUAUAUGCAUCCAAAAUUUUCUGUGGUUCAGAAGUACAUCAUUAAAAAAGGGUUUAGGAGUAGAUAAUUAUGGAAUCCGGAUCCUCUUCUCAUGAGAGGGUCUUUAUAUUUCCUCAUGAAUGAAUCUCAGCCUUUUAUUUUCAACCAAUGACUGAGAUCUUUCUAGUUAAAAUUAAACUCUACUUCACGAGAAAUUUUUUUACGCUCCGGGAAAACCACUUAGUUAUGCCUAAUGGUCAUUCGCUCCUAUAGUAAAUUGCCACGUGGCUAUUUUGACAAGUCACUUGAUUACACUUAAACAAUCAAGUAAACAUCAAAACUGUGGUUAAUGUUGCCGUUAUAUAUCAAUAUGUAAUUAUGUAUUCAUCAUUUCAUCCAUAAUCAAUAGAUCGAAAAGAAAUUUUGCAGCAAUUGGUUUGCUUCAAAUUUGGUUUGCUUCAAAUUAGAAUGGUUUACAACAUUUGCGGGUUAUGCUCUUCAAUCCAAUUGCUAUUCAAUUUGUCAAUAAAAAACGGUGACAAUAAAUCACAAGCUCACACAAGUUUUUAUUUUUGGAUGCAAGGUCAAGAAAUCUCAUUUGGGUUGCGUUCUUCCUUUUGAAAUCUGAAUGGAAACACCACCACCCACUUAUGGGUUUCCAAUAGUAACAGAUGAAAGGACUUUAUUGCUUUGGUUAUAGAACCAAUUGAUUGAGCCGUAAGGAUAGAUGUGAGUUUUGUGUAAUUUGAUUCAUAUAUUCAUGAAUAUAUGUAUAUCAAUUGGGGAUAACUGAUCAUACACAUAUCAAAUCAAUUUCUUGUUUAUUGAUUCAUAUCAAAGAAUAAGAAGUUAUAAAUAUGAGGAAAAGAAAAGAAAGAAGGAUUGCAGUUAUGAGAAUCUAUCAACCCCUAGGCAUCUACAAAGUUUGAGAUUAAUUGUCAUCUGGGUAUCUAUCAACCCUUUAACCUCUGCAGAUCUGGGUUCUAUCAACCCUUAACCUCUACACAUUUGCACCGAUCUGCAAAUUUUUUUUUCUUUUCAGUACUGGAGUUUCAGGUUCGAUCUCCACCUUGGAAUAAUCAGCCCAAGACUGGCCGAAGCGACAACCGGGGACUCGCCGUGGUUGUCCUCGACGCGCUCUCGAGGUUCGUGAAGCUCAGUUUUAGUUUUCAUCAAUUAUCGAGUUUCGGAGAUUGUUUCGAGUUGAAAUUAGGAAAAUGGAGUUGAAGAAUGUUAGUUUUCAUCAAUUGAAUAGUUUAGAGAGAAAGAUUUGAAUUAGGUUUGAUGACUUUGAUCGAGAGGAGCUAUGAGCUUAUUUGAAUUGUAGACGAGUUGCUUUUGUAUGUGUUUUUGUGGAGAUGAGUGUGUUUGCGAGCUCUUUGUUCUAUCAGUUGCUUGGUUUAGGCAAUUGUAAGUAAUGCCUUGAGGUUUCUUGAUGCUAGGCGACAAUGGGUGAGAGAAGAGGAUUUAGCUAAGGACUUGAAACUGCACUCGAAGCAACUCCGUCGUACAUUGCGGUUUUUUGAGGAGGAGAAACUGGUCACCCGGGACCAUAGGAAGGAGGUGAUUAUGUUGAACUUCNNNNNNNNNNNNNNNNNNNNGAAAUGCAAGUUGACUUAAUUAUUGAAUAUAUAAGAUCUUGAUAAAGUUUUUGGCUUCUAUAUUUUUAGAAAAGGCCUUACACAAGAAUANGUUUCAGAUAUAUGAUGUAGUAAGGUACAGACUGCACUGUAUGAGGAAAAAACUGAAAGAUGAAUUGGAGGACAAGAGCACAGUUCAGGAAUAUGUAUGCCCCAACUGUGGGAAAAGGUUUUUGCUGAUAGGUUCAUUUUGUUCAAUCUAUUGCAGCAGGGACAAAUUUGCAGAUUUUUUAUUAGUAGCUAUGAGCCUAUGUCUUGCAGAUUUUGUAUAUUUUGUAUAGUGGCUAUGAGCCUAUGACAACAUUUUGUAUAGUGGCUAUGAGCAUAUGACAAAUAUUUUGUUCAAUCUAGUGCAACAGGGGAAAAAUGGUAAAUUUGAGAUGGUAGUGUAAUUUUCAGAUGAAAUGAAACUGCAUUCUGUGUUUUUGCUCCAUCUCUAUUCAGUUUUAAAUUACUUGCAUUACUUGCAAUGUUUGUUGGUUUCAGUUCUCUCAUAAAUUCAAAGCUAUGAAAUCAAAAUGCAGCACAAACAUUCAUACUGUGAAAGGUUUCUUCAUUGAAAAUUUAAAAUGAUACGUAAUAUUUGAUCAAAAACACUAGUAAAUUGGUCUAUGAGUCUAUCUGACAUCUUCUUCCAUGAACUAAUCCGCACCAUUCAUUGAUUAUAAUGAAAGGUGAUGAUUCUAGUUAAGUACUUCUCUUGCAAGUCUUCCAAGUUCCAACACUGAAAGAGAGUUCACUAAGUUCAGAGGUGAUCAAUAUUGCUAUGCACCAAACUAAGUUCAAUAAGGUCAUCCGGUUGAAAAGCUGGUGGGAGAGAUUUUGACAGAUACCAACUCCAAUCUGCCUCUUCUAAUUCAGCCAAGCGUAACAAUAUGCCUUAAAUGCUUUUCAGCCUAACAAUAGAAUAUAGUAAAUCUUAUCAACUUCAAUCCAAAUCAUAAAACCAGAGUGAAAAUCAACUUUCAAUCUUUACACACCUGAAGAAAAUAGCGCCCAUCUGUCCAAAGAGCGGCUUUAUCUUUGGUGACAACAGCAGUGCCCUGCACUCCCAGUGAAACCUGAUAUAAAUAUCCUCCUCAUGUAACAUUUAGCAAUGAACUCGCUCUGAAAUCCAUAACAAAUGAGAUCCAAUGAGUAGCCAAUGCAAUCAAAUGAGCUCCAAAGGGAAUAAACACAAGACAGCAGCCAAUGCAAUCAAACUACACAAAUGAACUCCAAUGAGCUAUUAUUUCACAAUCUCAUUACCGAAAAACAGUAAAACCUGGCUGAUUUAAUCCUCAACAGUCAGUAGCACAUCAUAACUCUCAAACUUAGAAUCUCAAUCACAAAGUAAAACCAAAGCUCCUAGUUUUCAAAACAACGCCACAAAGACUAAAACUACACAAAUCACAAGCAUUUCACACCAAGCUAUAAAUGAAUCCAAAUUUCCAACAGCAAAUAAAUCGAAACAAAGCUCGAAACUUUCUGAGGCUAAAAGCUCAAAAACAAACAAAAUCAAAACACAAACUCUCAUAAUAUCAAAACGACGUAGUUUUAAACCUGGUGAGAGAGGGGAUGACGUAAGCGUCGAUGUCGACGCAGGGGAAGAGGUUCCGGAGAGCUUGGAGCUUGGCGUCAGAGGAGUCGGAAGCGGAGGCACGGCACUUGGGGCAGAGGUCCGAGGAGGGCUUGGCGGAGAUGGAGGUGCAGCUGCGGAUGGAGAAAGUGGGGGGGCUUUUGGGAAAUAGAGAGCAGCAACGGCGGAGGGAAGCAUAGCGAGCAACGGAGGCAGAGAGAGAGUGAGUGACGACGGCAAAGAGAGCUCGCGACGGCGGAGGGAGGCAGAGCUCGCGACGGGUUAGAGAGAGAGUGCGGGGGCGACGACGGCAGAGAGAGAGAGGGCUGUGGUUCGAUAUUUUGAGGAGAAGAGGGAGCGGUAAAUUGGGUAGAUGUGAAAUAUGGUUUAAUUUUAACUAGAAAGAUCUCAGCCAUUGGUUGAAAAUAAAAGGCUGAGAUUCAUUCAUGAGGAAAUAUCAUGAGGAGAGGAUCCGGAUUUAUAAUUAUGAGGGUAGUUAAGCAUCCUCAAACCAUGUAGUGGUAAUAUUUACUGAAUAAUAAUGUUUGUUGUUGCAUAUUAUGGGUCAAGUAGAGUGAGAGUGAAAGUUGUUACAAAGUGAUCAAAGGCUCAUGGCAACAGAUCAAAGACACCGCAAAACAACAUGGAGGGCUUGAGCUACUCCAGAAAUCGUUUAAAUUAUGCAAGUAUGAUCACGAUUCAUUUAGUGUUUAUGUCUAAAAAUUUUCAGUUUUGGAAAUAUUUAUUGGGAAUACUUUCAUUUAAAAUAUUUUUUUACAUUCAUUACAUGAAUAUUAUCAGCGUAGAUGAUCUUCAGAAUUGGCUUGAAUCCGCUUUUAUAUACACAGCAAUGACUGAUUAUCCUACUCCCUCAAAUUUCAUGACUCCUGUGCCAGCAUAUCCAGUUAAACAGGUUUAAGAAAAACACAAAUAGAAAAUUUCAUAUGUCAUCUUUCUAUUUUUAUCAUUUUUAAUAUAAAUGAUAAAAAUGUAAUUCUUUUAGUGGUGCAGAUGUGUAAGGCAAUAGAUAAUCCAGCAACAGGAAAUGAUACAUUUGCAAAGUUAUAUGGUGCAGUUACCGUCUACUAUAAUUACAGUGGCACAACUACGUGUUUCGAUCCUGAUGAUAACUCAGAUCCUCACGACCUCGGAGGAUGGGAUUGGCAGGUAUAGAAUUCUUAUUGCCUUCCUAAAUUAUUGAUUUUAUUUUACCAAAAUAAACCAAGUGAAAUGACCAUGUUUAGGUUGUUUUUAGGUCCCCUUUGGUUCGUUAAAGUAAGUAUCACGAAAUGAAAGUUUUUCUAUUCUUGUUUUUGGAACAACAAAAUAAAAGGAGAAAAUGUGACAAGUACUUUUUGGUCUAAUGACAUUAGUCUUCCCUCUAUAAAUGGGAGGUCGUGAGUCUCUCAUAAUAGACUCGUUGUAGCAUUUCAGUUAUUUUUUUCUAUCCAAAAAAAUUAAAAGAAAAUGUUUUCCUGACAUAAUAGAAAAUAAAAGAAAAAGCAGUUCCUUCCAUAAUGAAAACAUCAAACGUAACAGGAUUAUGUAUCCUCAUGUAGAUUUCCAAAAAUAUUUACUUUGGUGGUAGUUAUCUGUCACAAAUGGUAUUUAUCUAUGACCAACGAAUAACAUUGAUGUGUAAAAGGUGACAGGCUACUAACCAGUAGAUCUUAUUCAGAGUGGGGCUCCACUUUAAAAUUAAAGUGUGUGACUCUUUAUUUGGUACGUACACUUUCAGGUCAUAUCUCUACCUUUCAGUGUCUAACACAUAGUGUGUAUAUCAUUUCUGUAAAAUUUCAUCCAAUUUGGUGAUCAUUUGAGUACCGAAUUAGAUUAAAAAAAUCAACAGAACAAAAUCUGUCCAGAUAGAACCGUUCAUGUAAAUCACGAUUACGGAAGCUCAAAUGAUAAAAUUAGAUGAAACUUUGCAAAAAUGAUUUACUUCUAUAUACUAAAAUGUGAAGAUGUGAAAGUUUGACAUGAAAGUGUGUCAAAUAAGAAGUCACACAUUUUAAUUUCUAAGCGGAGGGUCUGAUGUGUACAUGGCGAUAUGCUACUAACAAAGUAACUAGUGUAAUAUGAUCGCACGCAUACCUUCUUAUAAAGAGCGUUGCCGAGGAGGGGGAUGGAGCUGUGCCUUUCUCAUGAAUCAGGCUAUUUAUAUAGAUGAUAGAUGAUAGUUAAUUUGGCAAAGGAAAUGUUAAUUUGAUAGAUGAUGAUGGAUUAUUAUACAUAGUACUUGGUCUUCAUUUUGACUUAUAAAUAUUUGCAGGCAUGUACAGAGAUGAUAAUGCAAACAAAUGGCAACGAUAAGGAGAGCAUAUUCCCACCUUCUGAGUCGCAAUACAAAGAUCAAGUCUCUUAUUGCAAAGAGGCUUAUGGCGUUGAACCUAGGCCUAAUUGGAUCACCACUGAGUUUGGGGGCCAUGUGAGUUUUCCAUUAUUAAUCCCAACUUCGUAUCAAUUAAUUAGUACACCCUUUUGGUUUGUUAGAUUUUUUCUUUCUUGAGAUCGAUGAGAAUUAUUCUUAUAUGUGAGACAUUUAUUGUGAGAGAGACAUUAUAAAAUUGCAACACGACUACAUGCACAUUUUGAAACUUUCUAAAAAUCACAAAAUAUUGUGAUUAACUCAAAGAAUAAUUGCCAUGUUUUAUCAAUAGCGUAUAGUAUAGCACGUACGUAGACUAUAUACUUAUCCUUUUUUUUUCUUUUGACAAAAUGAAAAUUUUAUUAAUAAUCGAAUGCUAAAAUAACAAGAUACAGUAACAACAAAUGUCAUAUAGUAUCAUUAUAUUAGACAAAUAGCUCACUUAUUGUGAGCCUAGUAGAGUACAAAAAACUAGACAAAAAAAGAUACUAAGGAAACCUGUUGUUGGAGCCAAGACGCUCAAUUACGAUACUCCAAGCAACAUACAACCAUCUAGGUGUAGCUAAUCUCUUUCCAAUUUACCUGCUCACGCACCAACAUAGAAGCGACACUAUAUUUUAAUAUUGCUUUUCAAAUCAGGGCUUCGGGGAGUGCCAGAGAAGAGCACACUUAUCAUUUUAUCACUAGUAAUCUUGAAUUUUUGUGAUGAUGUCAAAUCAUCUUUCAGUACUAUUUCAAAUGAUUCAACAGUGUACUUCCAGAAUCAAACCAAAACAUAGUGUCAUCUAGAUCCCAAAUAUGAAACCUAAAAAAGCUAGAAUUUAUUAGAUUUGCCCACAACCGAGCCCACGCACAAAUAUUGUGGAAAUUGGAGGUAACUUCGGUUGCAAGGCUCAAUUAAUGUUGAAUGUAUUGAAAUUGGCAGGACAUCAAGAGAGUUUUAAGGAGAUAUGGGAGCAACAUUAUCUUCUUUAAUGGGUUAAGAGACCCUUGGAGUGGUGGAGGGUAAUGAUCAAUUUAUUUCCCAGUUAAUUUUAUCCACCUAAAUCUCUUAACUUAAUUGUAUUUCUUAUUUUCUCACCCGUAUCAAUUCCUUUUGGUGUUUAUCAUUUCAGGGUGUUGAGCAACAUUUCCAAGAGGAUAGUAGCAAUUGUUGCAAAAGAAGGUUUAUAGCUAGUCAUCACUUCCAAAUCAAUCCACUUACAUAUAGGUACAAGAAAGCAAUUUGAUGAGAAUGCAUACUAAACAGCUUGUGGUGCUGAUACGUACUUAAUGAACAGGUGCUCACCAUGUUGACUUGAGGUUCAAAACUAAUGAAGAUCCAGAAUGGCUUAAAGAUGUCAGGAAGCAAGAGGUCAAGAUCAUUGCAAAGUGGAUCUCAGAAUAUUAUCAUGACCUUGCUGAUAAACAUUAGUUUUCAUUUUCCUUGAGGAUAUUGAGGCUGCAUAAGCCUAAAAAGGGAGCAUUGAUGAGCAUGAUUACGUGAAUCCUCUUAGAAUACAUCCCGAAUAACAACAUAACAGUCAUCUAACCAAGGUGAGCUAACCUAAUGCUACACCAUUUGCUUCCAAGAAUAUAAUGCUUAAUUUGAAUAGAUUGUUAAAAUGAUGAAUAUGAAUUUGAUUUGAUUUUUCAUUUUGUUGUCGUGACUCUUUUACUUCUUGUCUCGUUUCUUUUCAUUGUAUUAGUUCCAUUGUUAAAAGGAAAAAUUCUCCAGCUUUUUCAAAUCAAAAUCUUGUUAAUCAAUAAACGAAAUGAAAUUGAACAAACUUGUGUGAGAGGCUUGCCACCGCAAUGUCUUAAGACAUAAUUUCACCCUUACAACUGUGUAAUAAUGCUUGAUUGCAGACGUAUGUCCUGUCCUGCAGGCAGGGUUUAGAAUUUAUGUAGGCAGGGAUGGAGCCAAGAUUGAAGGUAUAGGGGGCAAUAUGUAAACACGAAAACAACGUCACAAUUUCGAAUCAAUAACAACAUUAUGUUUGUAGUAUAUAUGCAUGUUGUACGUAAAAAUUCAUUAAAAAUUAUGUAUAUGACUGUAUUAAGAUUAAAUGUUUGUAGUUUUAAUAUUUAAUAAAUGAGAUAGAGUAAAGAAAAUAAAAAUACACAAAAGCUAGAAUUGAUUAACUUCUGACGUGUCAUGGUUAGAAAAUUAUAUAAUUUAAAAUCAAAAUAGCUAUAACUAGAGCUAAACCCUUCAUUUGGUGUCAAGGGGACCAAACCUUUAUAAUUAUAGAGCUAUAAUCUUUUUUAUCUCAGAGGAAAAUUUUCAAAUGGUACCCCAAGUUAAGCUCAUUCAUCAUUUUGACAUCUCAAUUUUGAAAACUAUGAUAAUGGUAUCUCAACACUUAAACUUAAUCGAACAUUAGUUCUCUCCGUGAUUGACACCGUUAAGUUGGACAUUAUUUAUAGGCAAAAUUGUCUUUUCAUGUUUUCCCUUCCCAAAUCUUUUCCCUCCACAAACAAUCCCUUCCAGAAUAAGUCCAUUUUUCCAUCAGUAUCAGAAUUUGUGGUGAGCCAUAUGUUGGCUGCAUAUAAAAAUUAGAGACAUUUAGAAAUUAUAAUACACCAUUGGCCAUUAAUAUCCAUCAUUAAAAGUAGCUUUUGCAACCCACCGGUAAGAGAAAGAAUCAACAUUGAUUAAAAUACAUUUGUAUCAAGUACAGAAGUUCAUGAAACAUAUAUAAUUAAUAGAACAAUCAAAGAUAACUAGGUAAUAGGACUCACAUUCAUAGUUGAUAUCUUCAGGUCGAUAAACUCUAACUCAACUGAUAAAGUUUGUGGAGGGAAAACAUGAAGACACAAUUUUGUCCAUGGACAAAGUCCAACUUAGAUGUUGGGUUUAAGUGUUGAGGUAUUAUUAUCAUAGUUUUCAAAAUUGAGAUGUCAAAAUGAUAAAUGGACUAAACUUGGGACACCAUUUGGAAAAAUUUUCUCUUUAUCUUAUUGACAACACAAUAAACUAACAUGCAUGUUUUGAGAAAAUGUGAGGGUGCCACUAAGGUUUAGGGUAGCUCCGUUAAUGCCUGCAAGAUACAACUUUGGAUCCAGAGAAAUACUUCGGUGCGACAGCCGUGCCACGUGUCUGUGAGACCGGCCGAUCGUCGUGUGACACGUGUUUUUUUUUUUUUUCACAGCAGCCCGCAGCAGCCGCUGCGUUCUCCUCCGGCGAAGCUUCUUAUGUUUUUUCUUCACCCUCGCCGGCUGAAAUUCUCCUCCGCUGCUCUCCCUCAUUUCCAGCCCCAAAUUCUACGACCGCCACACCCUCCGAAACCCCACCCCUCCUCUCUCCGCCUUCUUCUUCCUCUCCACCUCUCUAGAUCCCUCUCCUCUCCCCUCCAUUCGCUCCCGGAGCUCCGACGAGCCAAGAUUCUCCAGAGAAAGACAGAAGAAGCUUCGCCGAAGGAGAACACAACGGCUGCUGCGGGCUGCUGUGAAAAAAAAAAAACACGUGUUGCAUGACCGUCGGACGGUUACACGGACACGUGGCACGGCCGUCGCACCGAAGAAUUUCUCUUGGAUCCAAGGCGUUUGCACAGAUUUCUUGAAAGCUAGGCACCCCUCGACACUACGGUUUAGGGUAGCUCCGCCAAUGCCUGUAAGAUAGAACUUUCGUUCCAAGGCGUUUGCACAGAUGACUUGAAUCCUAGAAGCCCAAAACCAUCUGAGAAGCCCAAAGGUAAUGCUUGUAGCUAGCCACAGUAGUAGUCUUUUUUGGUCAUACACAGUAGUAGUCAACAAAGGCACCAACUCAUUGUCCUAAAAGGACAGGGAGGAUUAAUAAAACCUCAAGGAGAGGUUGUUGGACUUGCAAAAUUUUGACCUAAAACCAAAUUGUAUAUAUAGUUUGGAUUUUUGGGUGGGGGUCUAGCUAUAUGCAAUGCUCCAUCGCUUAUUCGGUAUUAACUUUAAACCAUCCAAAGAAAGGAGGAAACCGGUAAACUCCACCGUUAACUACAAAUUGAUGUUUAAUCGAAAAAAAAACACUACAAAUUGAUGUCGAUCAUAUAUGUGGGAUAGAGCAAUGAAAAACGCCAUUAUACAAGGAAAUAGCCAAAUGAGCACGCAAUGUUAUGAAAUAGCCAACAACCAAGUUUUGACACUAUAUUAGCUGCAUCACCUGCGUGCAUACCUAACUAGAAUCUGGGAUGUUAUUAGUAAGUUUAUACAAACCAUAUGUUGGAACACGUACAUUUGGAGCUAGGCAGUUGGAUUAUCACUUAUGAUCGAAGCUAGUGAUCGAUACAGAUAAGAUUUAUAGACUACGCGGUCCCGUUUUGCUUAUACUUUCUUCAAAGUUAGGCAAGGAUUCCAGUAAAAGGUCGGUUCAUUAUUGUUCAAAAGUUUUGGCCAACUGGUUUCCAUCUAAAACACUUUGAAAGUGAAUAAUGUGAUAUGGAAGUCAUAGAUAUAUUUGGAAGCAUAUCAUUGUAUAUGUUGACAACUCGUCAGGUAUAUAUAUUCAAGUCAUAGUAUGAGACUAAUUGUCAUUUGAAUUGAUUAGCGAAAAUGUUAACGUCUCAAUCUCUCAACUGUCAAAGACUUUGGACAACACAAAGCUACAAUCCAGGUGCUUGUGUUAGAUCAACUUGGAUUGAUCAGUACUUUAGGAAUGAGAUAGUGAGCAAUGCAGUUUAAUUAAUUCACACAUUCAACACAUUUUGCAUGUACCUUUUAGCAAUCGAUUUCCGACUUUCCGUCAUUUGUCUCAGUCUUACACAAGCAGGAUUUGAAGUCCUCAUGGACCCUCCAGGAUUUAUAGGGUUUAAGACAAUUUUGCUAACUUCUCCCAUCAUUUUUUGACAAUUUUUCUCGUCUCAUAUAUUUAAAGUUUGUAAUCUCCUUCCGCUAAGCCAUAUAUAAUUAAAAUGCAACAAAAGAAAUACAUGCAUACAGUGAGUUUUGGGGUUGUGUGGUUUAAUAUACUGACUUAUAUAUCUCAGUAUUACCAUUUGGUCUAACGGCAUAGUCUUCCCUUAAUAAGUGAGAGAUUGUGAGUUCGACUCACGAAAUUAUAAUAUUUAAAUUGUUUAUCUAUUAAAAAAAUAUAUAUACUGACUUAUAUAUAUGCAAUGUGUAGAGUGAAUUUUGGGCUCGUAGCAGUAAAAUGUUUGUGGAUACAACUCGUACGUAAACUUAGAUACACGUACACUUGAAUAUUCACUUGGCACUGUGGUAUUUCCUUUCCUUUAUUUUUUUUCAAAAAGUAGAUGGAGUAGUAUUAUAUCUCUCUUUACAGUGAAUAAGAGAUAGAUACAUGGACAAGCUAUCUAUCUAGCUCUACACAUUAAAGUUGAAAUGUACAUAUUGUAACGCAUGCUACUGCUGCCUUGCAAAGUUUGCAAUGCAACUUCUUCCAAAGGCAAGUUGACAGAGCCUCUUUCAUUACCCACGUCUAUCUUCCAUAAUUGCUUGGCCAAUAUAGGGUUCAUAUAUAUUUCAUCUAUCUUCUUCUUUUCUUUCGCAUUAAUUCACAUAUCAACAGUACCACUCUACAGUAUAUUACGCAGCUCCUCUGCAAAACCCUUCAAUCGAUCUGUUUCAUGGUCCACAACAGGGUCGAUCGCCAUGCUAGCUAGCUUUCUGAUUCAAGUAUUUUUCACUCCUCCUUUUUCACAUAGAUGAAAAGGGAGAUAGAAAGGAAAGCAUGGCAGGCAGAUUAUGCAGCAACACCAACCAACUGUACUCAAACAAGUAUUAGACAAUUGGAGAUUGAUAAAACUGUGACUUUGGUGAUUGAUCUUGUGAGCCCUACCAUCUUAUAGAUCGAGAUUCGUAUGCCCUCGCAUGCCUUGUGAUCUGAUCGAUCAUCUUAGCUAGCUAGUAUUAUAUAAGUGAAGGAGUACUGAUCUGGAGGUUAUGACCCUUAAAGGACAGGCCAAUCCAGACAACCAGGGAUUCGGGAGACGUGGCUUCCUCCAUUUAGUUCUACAUGCUUCAAUUCUUUAUUCUUCUCUCCCAAACACCCCCCCUGUGGUUCUGAAUAAAUCAAUCAUACAUUACAUCUGUAAUUCUACAUAAUAUGAUGCCUUGGGAAAUUGCUAGCUAGCACUACACAACACUAUUGUCUAUGGUUUCACAUCAUAGCUCUUUUUAAUGUCUUCUUGGCUAGUUUGUGCUUGGUAGUUGGCUAAUGAAUAAUGAGACACUAAUGUGGUGUUAUUAUAUGAUAUGCCAGAUAUGAUUUUGUGCUUGUUACAGUCAAUUCUGUAUAUAUAUUUAGUAAAGAGUAGCUAUCAGUAGUGGAGCUUAAAAGCUUCAUAUUAAGGAGCUGCAGGCUAACUAAUUAAUCAAAUACGUUUCUUGGGCAAAUUCAAUUGUUGUCUGAUAUGUCACACCUUUCGCGCGCUGACUUCUCAUACCCUCCACCAGAUAUGUUAAUCAACUGAUGAACUAAUCUAAUCUAUUAGUUCAUCUAAUAUAUUUGUUUCACUAAUUGAACAAGCCUUGGCUUAUAGAAUAUAGAGAUAAAGCUCGUCAUCACUUUGUUCUAGCUUUGUGAGCUUAUACAUAGAUCCAUCUCUAUCAUUCUGAUUUUUAUUGUUUGGCUCAAGCCUAAAGAUCGAGAUUGUAGAAAAAGAAAAGGUUAACUGGAGACUUUGAAUUAGCUAGCUAAGCUAGGGUUUGUUGAAUACAGAAGCCAAUAUAUCUUUUCCAUUAUAGCUCUAAGUGUGUUGCAUAUCCACUCCCUCAUUAUCCCUACAUAGAUCAAAUAAAAGCUCAAUUCAAUCUCCUAGCUAGCCUGGAAGUAAUUAUCUAUAGGAGGGUUGAAAAAGAAAUUAAGUCGGUGAAGCAGUCUAAGAAAUCGGCUGCAGAUGUUACUUGCAGGUAUGGGACUGGUAUCAUAGUGUGUGUGGUCCAAUAUUUACACAUUAUAACACAUGAAAUCCUCAUGUGAGGACCAAGCUAGGUCCCCACUUUACACAGCUGAAAACAAAGAAAGAACAACAACAACAACAAAAACAUCCCUCAUAUCUUCAAGUUUCAAUUAUCACUAUAUAAUAACUCAUAUAUCCUUAACUAAUUAUCUUACAUCUUCCUCAAAAAUGAUCACCAGCCUUUCAUCCCCGGCCCUUUUCUGUAUUGGGAUUCAAAUUAUUCUAGUUAUGUUAACAUGGAGAAGCUAGGUUAUUUUAAAAUUACCUGGUAGUUAAUUAGAUCCCAGAUACUGUGGUUAUAUAUGUUUGUAGAAUGUGUUAAUUAAUUAAAUUAAAUCCUUAAUUCAUUAUUAGGCGGGAGUCAAAGAAUAUGAAAUAUAACUCUGCUACCAUUUGUUACUAUAUAUUGCCUGUGUAUUGGGAUUCAAAUUAAUUAUUCUAUUGCAGAUGCUUAACCCAAGCAUAUAUAUGCUAAUUAGCUAGACACACAAGUUAUUUCCCAAAAUACGUACGUACGCGGUAGGUAGAUCCCAGAUAGAGUGAUGAACUAUAAUUGUAUAUAAAAGGGUCGCAAAUUUACAUGAGAAGAUGCUAAAAUUGAUUAAUUUAUGGAUAAGAAAAAAAACAUGUUGUAUUAGGACCCCAAUUAAGAAUGAUCUGAAUCAAAUAGCUGCCAUGUCCAUUGAAUUAGCAAUAAUCUAAUUAUGCAGUUUAUUUAUGCAGAUGCGUAUCAAACAUUAGAUUAUGAUACAAUGUUUGUGGUCUUCUAAGUUUAGGUACAUAUAUAUACAUGUCCUGCCAGUUUGGACACUUUCUACUUCCUACAAUGAACUGAUAAAUAUAUAUAUAUAUAUAUAUAUAUAUAUAUAUAUUUGCGACUAGCUAUAUUUAUAUAUCUGGUAUGAGGGUAUCUGAUAUCUGAAGCAGAAGCUGUGUUAAAAUAACCACAAACCAACCAAAAUAGAUCAGCUAGUUUUACAUUUUUCCAGAAACCCGGCCAGGUUGUAAACCUGACAAAUAUCUCUCAUAAUUUCUUCUUGCUGAGGGAAACCCCUAAAGAAAACAAAGAAGAUAUUGAAUGCUAAAAAGAGAGGUAUGGAUUUUAGUGUUGAGAGUUAGGUCUCUCACGGAUUGGCCUUACAAAAACCAGCAGGAGGAGGGUGGUGCGUGGUUUUUACUUGGGAAUUGAAGUUUUUUCAACCAGAAAUAGAAACAAUAAUUUCUUAAGUUUCCUUAUAUAUCUCAUUUAUAUAGGCCCCGUCUUGUUCCCUGGUUCUUCGAUCUCUAAGUCUCUGAAGAAGAUAAAGUAUUUAUUUACGAAUUGGAGAUUUUGCAUAAGAGUUUUGCAUUAUGUAUAUGGCAGAGAUUAGGCCACUGUGUCAAUAUGCAUGGUUUUCUUUGUGGUCAAGGAUUCCUGCACCUGGCCAAACAACAUCUUUCUAUCGCAAACCCCUAGCUUCCUUAUAAACAAAGGAAUAUAUAUAUAUUUCAGGUUUCGGCGUCCCACUUGACCAUUUCUUUUUUCUUCUUCGAUCUCCAAAUGAUGUAAUCUCUAUGUCUUUUACAAAUAUUCCAAUGGGUUAAGAUAUUUUUCAUCUUUGGGGUGCAACUUUGAUCUAAUAUUACGUGCCUUACAAAUAUCUGAAUAGAAAAGUCGUGGUUAGUUAUGUUCUUUAAUUGUUAUCUCAAUCAGUUGAACAUAUGUGCACUACGUCUAGCCCCUUUAGUAAAGCUAAUUAAGGAGAGGUGCUUGGCCAUUACAUCGUCUAAGCUCAUCACUAUGUUUUAUAUCAAGCUGAUUCUAGCUUGGUAAAUAGUUGUCAUUAUAUCAAAAUCAAACAAAGGUAGAUGCUCUAGACCUGUUUUGACGUCAAUAUUGAAAGACCAAACGUAAGUGAGUCGAUUUUGAAGUCAACUAAGCCAAUAAACCGCACCCUAACUCUAGGAUUUGUCUGUGGUGCAGAUAUGUAUGACAUACAUACAACUAAAAAAAAUGUACAACAGAGGGUGGUGGGUUUUGGAAUAUAUGCCUGGAAAGGAAGAUUUGCAUGCUAUGCAUAUCUGCAUAGCCGAAUUUUCACCCUAACCAUAGCUGGAUAGGAUUUUUGGACUAAAGUUAUCCGUUUUUGCUUCAGUUAAACUGAAAUUUUUUACUAAUCAAAAUCUAGUUCUACAUAUGAAAAAUGUCUGGACGAAAAUUUGGACCGCGUGGAUUGAAACAAUAACUUAUUGUCCAAUCAAAAUAUAUGAUUGGAGACGAUCGACGAGUUGCAUGGUACCACAUUAUGAUAAAUUGUUGUUGGUAUUAGAGAAUGAAGAUAACACAAGAGCAGGCCAACAACCUAUUUAUUAUGUGUUUCCCACAUGUACGUACUACUCGAAACCAUGCCAAAGUUAAAACCAACUAAUAAUAUGAGAAAGAGAAAAAAAAAAAAGGGCUGUCUGAAUCUACCUGGAAAUUGAGGUGGGUUUUGUCUGAGACUUGGAGCAAAAGACACGAUCCAACUAUAUAUAAAAGAUAACACGGCAGCAGGAGAUCGAGCUAGCUGAUAGAAUAUGCAAUAAUAAAACGAAAUUGCUUGAAAGACACCUAGAGAGACAGAGUCCCCAGACCCCAGUUUAUAUAAGUGUUUUUGUGAAUUGAUUAGAGACGGAAUGUGAGGAAAAGAUUGAAACACGACUGGUACUGUACAGAAAGAGGGGCGUCUUCUUCUUCUUCUUUCUUCUUAGCUCUUCUUUAACUCUAUCUCCAAUUGGAGUUGGACAAAUCUUAUCCCAUGCCAUGCUCUCUCACUCUGCUUAUUGGAAAAGGAAGGGAUCUCUGGAUUUUUCUACACCACCUUCCUCCAAUUAAUCCCCACCUUUAAAACCAGGAAUGGCCAAACACCAAUAAUUCUGUCAUGCACGUGAUCAAAUUACUAUUUCAUCUCUCCCAGAUCAUAAUCAAAUUUGAAAUGACUAUUUACUCGAAUCACAUUACGUUUGCACAUUAACAAUCAAAAUGAAUAGUCUGAGAACUCUAGGAAUCUCUGAUGAUUGACUCCAAAAUCUCAAUUGUUUCCCAAGUAAUAGAGGAUUAGCCAUGUAACAUUCUUCGGCUUAAGAAAGACUCUUCCUGUGUUCCUCAAUCACUAAAGAGUAAAGAGAGGGGUCAUGCGCCAGGAGAGCCCCAUCCCGCCUCUACAUUUCACUGUAUCAGAGAAUGUCACCAAAUUAAUAUGAAGUGAAAUGAAAGCAAACAGUCACGGAUUCUCCCCAAAAGAAAAAAGAUGAAACCAACAAACUUCCAUGAGGAACUUAAGAAUGAAGAAACGACCACUAAUAGUCACAAUUACAAAACUGUUCCAACUCGUACGCUAAUCUAACACCAAAAUUGAUUUCACUGUAAUAUCAUUAUCAUUACCAUUAUAGGUUGUCAUGUUGUAUGCCCACUUAUGUUAUUCCCCUGUGGCAGCUUUGUCCAUAAACAGUUAAUUUUGUUUUAGAUCAUGUGAUAUGUACAUUCCAGGUUAUUAUGAUAUGUAUUGGCUUAAAUCAUGUGAUGUACACAAGAGGAGAAAAUUAAGAUAAAGCUCAAUGUAUAUCCGUACGUACGUAGUGAUUAGUCGUAGGCUUAAAUCAUGUAAUGUACAUAAGAGGAGAAUGUUUGUUUUUAAUUUUUUUUUUGUUCAAAAUCAUAUGGUUUCUUCAAAGACCUUUUAGGUUAAGCGUGCCGCGAGAUCUUGUUAGAACUCUUCCUUCUCCUUAGAGAUUUAACUCCGAUCAUCAUUGGUGGGAUUCGAACUUGAGCUCGGGGAUUCCAUUAAUUUUAAGCUCUUACACACUCGACCACCUUUGGUGGUUAAUAGAAGAAUGUUAAGAUAAAAUCAAUAAUGAUGAGUUGCAGUACAUUAAUAAAUAUAAGUGAAGCUUCGCUCUGGAUAAGAACUAUAUAUAUAUAUAUAUAU